This is a long non-coding RNA of Oncorhynchus tshawytscha (Chinook salmon), 9867 nucleotides long. Lineage: Eukaryota; Metazoa; Chordata; Actinopteri; Salmoniformes; Salmonidae. The record is from Ensembl.
GUCUUGAUCACGUUGAGGGAGAGGUUGUUGUCCUACCACCACACGGCCAGGUCUCAGACCUCCUCCCUAUAGGCUGUCUCGUUGUUGUCGGUGAUCAGGCCUACCACUGUUGUGUCAUCGGCAAACUUAAUGAUGGUGUUGGAGUCAAGCCUGGCCAUGCAGUCAUGAGUGAACAGGGAGUACAAGAGGGGACUGAGUACGCACCCAUGAGGGGCCCUUGUGUUGAGGAUCAGCAUGGCAAAUGUGUUGUUACCUACCCUUACCACCUGGGGGCAGGUCCGUCAGGAAGUCCAGGAUCCAGUUGCAGAGGGAGGUGUUUAGUCCCAGGAUCCUUAGCUUAUUGAUGAGGGCACAAUGGUGUUGAACGCUGAGCUGUAGUCAAUGAAUAGCAUUCUCACAUAGGUGUUCCUUUUGUCCAGGUGGGAAAGGGCAGUGUGGAGUGCAAUAGAGAUUGCAUCAUCUGUGGAUCUGUUGGCGGUAUUCAAAUUGGAGUGGCUCGAGGGUUUCUGGGAUAAUGGUGUUGAAGUGAUAAUGGUGUUGCCUUUAAAAGCACUUCAUGGCUACAGACAUUUAGGCAGAUUACCUUAGUGUUCUUGGGCACAGGGACUAUGGUGGUCUGCUUAAAACAUGUUGGUAUUACAGACUCGGACAGGGAGAGGUUGAAAAUGUCAGUGAAGACACUUGCCGGUCAGCGCAUGCUCGCAGUACACGUCUUGACAAUCCAUCUGGCCCUGCGGCCUUGUGAAAGUUGACCUGUUUAAAGAUUUUACUCAGAUCAGCUACGGAGAGCGUGAUCACACAGUCGUCUGGAACAGCUGGUGCUCUCAUGCAUGUUAUUUUUUUCCACCUUUAUUUAACCAGGUAGGCUAGUUGAGAACAAGUUCUCAUUUACAACUGCGACCUGGCCAAGAUAAAGCAAAGCAGUGCGACAAAAACAACAACACAGAGUUGCACAUAAACAAACAUACAGUCAAUAACACAAUAGAAAAAUCUAUGUACAGUGUGUGCAAAUGUAGAAGAGUAGGGAGGUAAGGCAAUAAAUAGGCCAUAGAGGCAAAAUAAAAACAAUUUAGCAUUAAUACUGGAGUGAUAGAUGUGCAGAUGAUGAUGUGCAAGUAGAUACUGGGGUGCAAAAGAGCAAGAGGAUAAAUAACAAUAUAGGGGUAGUUGGGUGUGCUAUUUACAGAUUGGCUGUGUACAGGUACAGUGAUCGGCAAGCUGCUCUGACAGGUGUUGCUUAAAGUUAGAGAGGGAGUUGUAAGACUCCAGCUUCAGUGAUUUUUGAAAUUCGCUCUAGUCAUUGGCAGCAGAGAACUGGAAGGAAAGGCGGCCAAAGGAGGAAUAGGCUUUGGGGAUGACCAGUGAAAUAUACCUGCUGGAGUGCUACGGGUGGGUGUGGCUAUGGUGACCAGUGGCUGAGAUAAGGUGGAGCUUUACCUAGCAUAGACUUAUAGAUGACCUGGAGCCAGUGGGUUUGGCGACAAAUAUGUAGUGAGGGCCAGCCAACGAGAGCAUACAGGUCGCAGUGGUGGGUGGUGAAUGGGGAUUUGGUGACCAAACAGAUGGCACUGUGAUAGACUGCAUCCAGUUUGCUGAGUAGAGUUUUGGAGGCUAUUUUAUAAAUGACUUGACCGGAGUCAAUGAUCGGCAGGAUAGUCAGUUUUACGAGGGUAUGUUCGGCAGCAUGAGAUAAGGAGGCUUCGUUGCGAAAUAGGAAGCCGAUUCUAGAUUUCAUUUUGGAUUGGAGAUUCUUAAUGUGAGUCUGGAAGGAGAGUUUACAGUCUAACCAGACACCUAGGUAUGUGUAGUUGUCCACAUAUUCUAAGUCAGAACCAUCCGGAGUAGUGAUGCUAGUCGGGCGGGAGGGUGCGAGCAGCAAUCGGUUGAAGAGCAUGCACUUAGUUUUACUUGCAUUUAAAAGCAGUUGGAGGCCUUGGAAGGAGUGUUGUAUGGCAUUGAAGCUCGUUUGGAGGUUUGUUAGCACAGUGUCCAAAGAAGGGCCAGAUGUAUACAGAAUGGUGUCGUCUCACCAGCAGCAAGAGCGACAUCAUUGAUAUAUACAGAAAAAAAGAGUCGACCCAAGAACUGAACCCUGUGGCACCCCCGUAGGGACUGCCAGAGGUCCGGACAACAGGCCCUCCGAUUUGACACACUGAACUCUAUCUGAGAAGUAGUUGGUGAACCAGGCGAGGCAGUCAUUUGAGAAACCAAGGCUAUUGAGUCUGCCGAUAAGAAUGCGGUGAUUGACAGAAUCGAAAGCCUUGGCCAGGUCGAUGAAGACGGCUGCACUGUACUGUCUUUUAUCGUUGGUGAUAAUGAUAUCAUUUAGGACCUUGAGCGUGGCUGAGGUGCACCCUUGACCAGCUCGGAAACCAGAUUGCAUAGUGGAGAAGGUACGGUGAUCUGUUUGUUAACCUGGCUUUCGAAUAUUUUAGAAUGAUUUUAUUUGUCUCGAAGAGAGCGUAGAAGUAGUUUAGCUCAUCUGGUAGGCUCGUGUCACUGGGCAGCUCUUGGCUGUGCUUCUCUUUGUAGUCUGUAAUGGAUUGCAAGCCCUGCCACAUCCGACAAGUGUCAGAGCCGGUGUAGUACGGUUCGAUCUUAGUCCUGUAUUUACACUUUGCCUGUUUGAUGGUUCGUCAGGGAUUUUGGAAUUUCUUAUAAGCUUCAGGAUUAGAGUCCUGCUACUUGAAAGUGGCAGCUAUAGCCUUUAGCUCAGUGUGGAUGUUGCCUGUAAUCCAUGGCUUCUGGUUGGGGUAUGUAUGUAUGGUCACUGUCUCUACGCUGUGCUGACGUCUUUACGCUGUAGGACGCUGACGUCUCCACGCUGUAGGACACUGACGUCUCCACGCUGUAGGACGCUGACGUCUCCACGCUGUAGGACGCUGACGUCUCCACGCUGUAGGACGCUGACAGCAAUGAGCAUCUCAGGGAGAGAUGGCAGCGCUCCUUAACACCUUUGGACUCCACACUGUGGUGUUCACACUACACAAAGUUUCAUUUGAAUAUUUAUUGGUGGCUAUUCAAGUUUUUUAUUGAACUAUUUAUCAAAUGGACAGAGGCGGCUGAUCUUCCAGCCCAGGGAAGGUAAAGGUGAAAUUCCUCUGACGUCCGGGAGUCACUGUACCACUAAUGGAGGGCCACAGAUUCUUUCACAGGCAAGAUUCAGAAAGCUGUUCCUACUGUGUUGUCUGUACAGCAGGUGGCAACAUGGAGGCACAAGUAGAUUCCAACUGAAACAUGACAUCACAGGCUGGGCUAAACAAUUCCAGGGUUAGGAUUAGAAAGACAUGAUUAGACCUCAGAAGCAGUUGGACUCUUUGACUGUAUGAUAUGGGAGCACAAUAGGGUUAUAUACUGUACUAACUUACAAGGUUGAAACAUACUGUCUAGUCAUUACAACAAAAGUUCCGUUUGAGGAAUUACAGAAUGCAGACAGAUUAAAACAAGACUGAAAAACAGAAACCAAAGAACCUUUAUUAAAUAGUAAUGUGAGGUUUCAGUUGGAUUUUCUUCAUUCCAAAAAACUAUACCAGGGUUUUAGUUUUAGUGUGAAUCAAGGCUCCCUGCAUAGUAGGAUGGGGGGGGGGCAGGUGUUCCCCAAAACAGAACCAGAGAGAGGGUGAAUUCGUUUUAACUCGCCCAGUGCUCCGGGACACUUUAGGACCAAUGGAAUGGUCUAAAAAAUGUGCCCGGGCCAGUUAUUGACCACUGUGUGAUGUUACAGAGUCCUGCUUGUAUUGACCACUGUGUGUAGUUAAAAGUCUUGCUUGUACCAUCUCAGGUAGCCCGGUCCAGAUCUGGUCGUACCGUCUCAGGUAGCCCGGUCCAGAUCUGGUCGUACCGUCUCAGGUAGCCCGGUCCAGAUCUGGUCGUACCGUCUCAGGUAGCCCGGUCCAGAUCUGGUCGUACCGUCUCAGGUAGCCCGGUCCAGAUCUGGUCGUACCGUCUCAGGUAGCCCGGUCCAGAUCUGGUCGUACCGUCUCAGGUAGCCCGGUCCAGAUCUGGUCGUACCGUCUCAGGUAGCCCGGUCCAGAUCUGGUCGUACCGUCUCAGGUAGCCCGGUCCAGAUCUGGUCUGAAUGUCAAGCUAAACCAAGUGAAACAAGGUGGGGGAAAAAGGUUUGUUUGUAGAGUAAGGAGACAGUACUGUAAGUGGUUACACAUCAGCAACAUGUUGUAGUAUUAGCCAGCAGAAACAGCAGACAGCAGUCACUUUGGGAAGUAUAGACCUUACUCCAGAUCAGCUCAUAGAAGACUGUUCCUGUGCUCCUCCAUGCUGCAGAUCAGGCAUGUUGUGAAGAUCAUUCAAACCUGUUAUAUGUAUCAAUGUCUAAUAGAAAGUACCUCUCGACUCUUUCCAGAUUUGGUUGUUUUACAAAGUGGGAUUCAAAUGGAUUUAAUUGUCAUUUUUUUGUCAAUGAUCUACACAAAAUACUAAUAUAUUGUGAUUAGAUAAGUAUUCAACCCCCUGAGUCAAUACAUGUUAGAAUCACCUUUGGCAACGAUUACACCUGUGUCUUUCUGGGUAAAUCUCUAAGAGCUUUUUAAUUCUUCAAGCUCUGUCAAGUUGGUUGUUGAUCAUUGCUAGACUGCCAUUUUAAGGUCUUGCCAUAGAUUUUCAAGUAGUUUUAAGUAAAAACUGUAACUAGGCCACACCGGAACAUUCAAUGUCAUCUUGGUAAGCACUCAAAUGUAUACUGAACAAAAAUAGAUAAGUGUUGAACCCAUGUUUAAUGAGCUGAAAUAAAAGAUCCCAGAAAUGUUUCAUACACACAAAAAGCUUAUUUCACUCAAAUGUUGUGCACUAAUUUGUUGACAUCCAUUAGUGAGCAUUUAUCCUUUGCCAAGAUAAUCCAUCCACCUGACAGGUGUGGCAAAUCAAGAAGCUGAUUAAACAGCAUGACCAUUACACAGGUACCCCUUGUGCUGGGGACAAUAAAAGGCCACACAAAUGUGCAGUUUUGUCACACAGCACAAUGCCAAGAAGUCUCAAGUUUUAAGGGAGCGUGCGAUUGGCAUGCUGACGGCAAGAAUGUCCGCCAGAGCUGUUGCCUGAUAAUUUAAUGUUAAUUUCUACCAUAAGCUGCCUUCGACGUAGUUUUAGAGAAUUUGGCAGUACGUCCAACCAGCCUCAGAACCGCAGACUACGUGUAACCACUGUAGCCCAGGACCUCCAUAACCAGCUUCUUCACCAGCGGGAUUGUCUGAGACCAGCCAGCUGGACAGCUGAUGAAACUGUGGGUUUGCACAACCAAAGAAUUUCUGCACAAACUGUCAAAAACUGUCUCAGGGAAGCUCAUCUGCGUGUUCGGCGUCAUAACCAUCUUCAGUGGGAAAAUGCUCACCUUCAAUUGUCACUGGCACGCUGGAAAAGUGUGCUCUUCAUGGAUUAAUCCCAGUUUCAACUGUCCCGGGCAGAUGGCAGACAGUGUGUAUGGCGUCGAGUGUACGAGAGGUUUGCUGAUGAACAGAGUACCCCAUGGUGGCGGCGGGGUUAUGGUAUGGGCAGGCAUAAACUAUGGAUAAUGAACACAACUGCAUUUUAUCGAUGGCAAUUUGAAUGCAGAGAUACCGUGAUGAGAUCCUGAGGCCCAUUGUCCACUCAUCCAUUCAUCCACCGCCAUCACCUCAUGUUUCAGUAUGAUAAUGCACGGGCCCAUGUCACAUGGAUCUGAACACAAUUCCUGGAAGCUGAAAAUGUCCCAGUUCUUCCAUGGCCUGCAUACUCACCAGACAUGUCAUUAAUUGAGCAUGUUUGGGAUGCUCUGUAUCAACGUGUAUGACAGUGUGUUCCAGUUCCUGCCAAUAUCCAGCAACUGCACACAGCCAUUGAAGAGGAGUGGCACAACAUUCCACAGGUCACAAUUAACAGCCUUAUCAACUCUAUGCGAUGGAGAUGUGUUGCGGUGCUUGAGGCAAAUGGGGGUGACACCAAAUGGGCGGCAGGGUAGCCCAGUGGUUAGAGUGUUGGACUAGUUACCGAAAGGUUGCAAGUUCAAAUCGCCGAGCUGACAAGGUACAAAUCUGUCGUUCUGCCCAUGAACAGGCAGUUAACCCACUGUUCCUAGGCCGUCAUUGAAAAUAAGAAUUUGCCCUUAACUGACUUGCCUAGUUAAAUAAGGGUAAAAAAAGAUACUGACUGGUUUUCUGAUCCAUGCACAUACCUUUUUGUUAAGGUAUCUGUGGCCAACAGAUGCAUAUCUGUAUUUCAAGUUAUGUGAAAUCCAUAGAUUAGGGUCUAAUGAAUUUAUUUCAAUUGACUGAUUUCCUUAUGACCUGUAACUCAGUAGAAUCUUUGAAAUUGUAGCAUGUUGCGUUUAUAUUUUUGUUCCGUGUAUAUUUGGCCUUGUAUUUUAAGUUUUUGUCCUGCUGAAAGGUGAAUUCAUCUCCCAGUGUCUGUUGGAAAGCAGACUGAACCAGGUCUUCCUCUAGGAUUUUGUCUGUGCUUAGCUCCAUUCAGUUCUUUUUUAUCCUGAAAACCUCCCCAGUCCUUAAUGAUGAAAAGCACACCCAUAACAUGAUGCAGUCACCACCAUGCUUGAAAAUAUGGAGAGUGGUACUCAGUGAUGUGUUGUAUUGGAUGUGCCCCAAACAUAACUUUAUGUCCUGAAUACAAAGUGUUAAUUUCUUUGACAUAUUUUUUGUAGUAUUACUUUAGUGCCUUACAAAAGGAUGCAUGUUUUAGAAUAUUUGUAUUCUGUAGAGGCGUCCUUCUUUUCACUCUGUCAUUCAAGUUAGUAUUGUGGAGUAACUACAAUGUUGUUGAUCCAUCCUCAGUUUUCUAUCACAGCCAUUAAACUCUAACUGUUUUAAAGUCACCAUUGGCCACAUGGUGAAAUCCCUGAGCGAUUUCCUUCCUCUCCUGCAACUGAGUUAGGAAGGACACCUGCAUCUUUGUAGUGACUUGGUAUAUUGAUAUGCUAUCCAAAGUGUAAUUAAAAACUUCACCCUGCUCAAAGAGAUAAUCAAUGUCUGCUUUUUUAUUUUACCCAUCUACCAAUAGGUGCCCUUCUUUGCAAGGCAUUGGAAAACCUCUCUGGUCUUUGUGGUUGUAUCUGUGUUUGAAAUUCACUGCUCGACUGAGGGACCUUACAAUUAUCUGUAUGUGUGGGGUACAGAGAUAAGGUAGUCAUUCAAGAAACAUGCUAAACAGUAUUAUUGCACACAGACUGAGUCCAUGCAACUUGGUAAGCACAUUUUUAUUCCUGAACUUAUUUAGGCUGGCCAUAAUAAAGGGGUUGAAUACUUACUGACUCAAGACAUUUCAGCUUCUCAUAAAAAAUUCUACAAACAUAAAUUCACCUUGACAUUAUGGGGUAUUAUUGUGUGUAGGCCAGUGACAUUGAAUCCAUUUUAAAUCCAGGCUGUAACACAACAUGUGUAAAAAGUCCAGGGGUGUGAAGACUUUCUGAAGGCGCUGUAUACAGUGUGUCUAUUUGGAUCUAAGAUCAGAGUUAUACUGCAUCUGGCACGGCCUUCUGUCAAAACAUACUGAUUGGUGAAUGAUUCCAUGGCAGGUAAGAUGUUUCUGUGUAAAACUGAUUUCUGAGUGCUGAUACAGUUCCAUACCACAACUUAUCAGAGUUUAGAUCUGUCACUAUAUGUCUGAUAGAAUAUCCCAAGGAUUUCUAGACCAAUCAUGUCUGGUAGAAUAUCCCAAAGACUUCUAGACCAAUCAUGUCUGGUCGAUUAUCCCAAAGGACUUCUAGACCAAUCAUGUCUGGUAGAAUAUCCCAAAGACUUCUAGACCAAUCAUGUCUGGUAGAAUAUCCCAAAGACUUCUAGACCAAUCAUGUCUGGUAGAAUAUCCCAAAGACUUCUAGACCAAUCAUGUCUGGUAGAUUAUCCCAAAGGACUUCUAGACCAAUCAUGUCUGGUAGAAUAUCCCAAAGACUUCUAGACCAAUCAUGUCUGGUCGAUUAUCCCAAAGGACUUCUAGACCAAUCAUGUCUGGUAGAAUAUCCCAAAGACUUCUAGACCAAUCAUGUCUGGUAGAAUAUCCCAAAGACUUCUAGACCAAUCAUGUCUGGUAGAAUAUCCCAAAGACUUCUAGACCAAUCAUGUCUGGUAGAAUAUCCCAAAGGACUUUAGACCAAUCAUGUCUGGUAGAAUAUCCCAAAGGACUUUAGACCAAUCAUGUCUGGUAGAAUAUCCCAAAGACUUCUAGACCAAUCAUGUCUGGUAGAAUAUCCCAAAGACUUCUAGACCAAUCAUGUCUGGUAGAAUAUCCCAAAGACUUCUAGACCAAUCAUGUCUGGUAGAUUAUCCCAAAGGACUUCUAGACCAAUCAUGUCUGGUAGAAUAUCCCAAAGACUUCUAGACCAAUCAUGUCUUGUCGAUUAUCCCAAAGGACUUCUAGACCAAUCAUGUCUGGUAGAAUAUCCCAAAGACUUCUAGACCAAUCAUGUCUGGUCGAUUAUCCCAAAGGACUUCUAGACCAAUCAUGUCUGGUAGAAUAUCCCAAAGACUUCUAGACCAAUCAUGUCUGGUCGAUUAUCCCAAAGGACUUCUAGACCAAUCAUGUCUGGUAGAAUAUCCCAAAGACUUCUAGACCAAUCAUGUCUGGUAGAAUAUCCCAAAGACUUCUAGACCAAUCAUGUCUGGUAGAAUAUCCCAAAGGACGUUAGACCAAUCAUGUCUGGUAGAAUAUACCAAAGGACUUCUAGACACAAUCGUCAGUCUCAGAGUCACUUCUAUCAGAGACGGGUGGAGCGAAUUGGCUGUUGAAGUGCAUGUCCUGCCCCUCCAUCAGGACAGGUCAGUUCUGGUUCUUAAAGAGUCCAUGAACCCCCUCCCUGUGUCUCACUGCCACAGCACGCCCUAACCUUAACCCAGUCUCUCUCACUGCCACAGCACGCCCUAACCUAGACUCACUGCCACAGCACGCCCUAACCCAGUCUCUCUCACUGCCACAGCACGCCCUAACCCAGUCUCUCUCACUGCCACAGCACGGCAGCCAUGUUGUCUGUUCCCCACCCAUGGUCUCCUCUCCAUUAACAAAAGCUGAAGAACAUACACACAUCCAGGUACUUUCCACAGGUGCUGGAGUUCUAGGUAAACUCAUGGAAAACAGAAAGGAAAACGCCACACUGCUGCUUGUGCUCCCAGAUAUCUAUUCAUAACAAUGUUUCCACCAUUAGGUCCUGGAUACCUGAUGAAGACCUAAGGGUGGAAACGUUAUAAAUAAAUAUCAGCUGGGAGCAUGAGCAGCAGUGUGGCAUUUUCCUUUCUGUUUUCCCAUGGUCUGUAGUUAGUCCACCAAUAACCCAUGGUCUGUAGUUAGUCCACCAAUAAACCAUGGUCUGUAGUUAGUCCACCAAUAACCUAUGGUCUGUAGUUAGUCCACCAAUAACCCAUGGUCUGUAGUUAGUCCACCAAUAACCCAUGGUCUGUAGUUAGUCCACCAAUAACCCAUGGUCUGUAGUUAGUCCACCAAUAACCCAUGGUCUGUAGUUAGUCCACCAAUAACCCAUGGUCUGCAGUUAGUCCACCAUUAACCCAUGGUCUCUUCUCCAUUAAUCCAUGGUGUCUAAUGGUCUGUAGUCCAUUAACACUAUUCUCCUGCUGCUCAAGACGUGUUGUAGUUAGCUGUAUCCUUCCCAAAGUUGUAAUAGUUGUCCAUGUCGUCCAUGUUGGCCGUGGUGAGCUUGGUGAGGUUCUGGGAGCCUCCAUUAUCCAUGUUGUUGUUUGCCCCUGAGGUCUCAAAGUCAAAGUUGUCCUCCUCAUAGUGGCCCUGGCCCUCCAUCCCAGGAAGAGCAUCUGGGAACACACAGAGAAACAGGGCUGUUAGGGAGAGUACAGUGGUUGAACCAACCCAGAACACAGUGGUAGAACCAACCCCAACCCAGAACACAGUGGUAGAACCAAC